CUUUGCUUCUUCUAGUGCUAAACUAAACCUUCGAAGCUGUUUCGGAGAGCAAGUUCCGUCGUCCUUGACCAUAAGCUGCGACGGUUUUACGUCGAAGAAGAUAGGAACGACUCUUUUUUUUGUCUCCAUCAGAAGAGCGAGUUCGUGGAGACAAUAAUAAGAGUCACAAUAACGAGGAGAGAACACGGUAACACCAACCUUACAACCAAUAAUUGCUUUAUCGAUAUGAUGAAAUAGUUUGUCUCCUGGUUUCAUGUUCAUACUGUCCAAAAACGAUCUCACUCCCAUGUUUGUUAAAUCUUUGUAUAAUAACCCUGCAACGUUCUUCUUUGUGUCUAUCCCACGGUGGUUUAUGAAAACUUGACAUGUUGGUUGAACAAUUUUGCGGUAGAAACGUUGCAUGGCUUCUUCUAUAAGCUUUGUUAGUUUCUUAAUUAUGUUUGUGUUUUGUAUUUUGCGGUAUAUAUAGCAAUAGAUUGAUUUUGUGUAAUUUUGGUGAAAAUGCGUUUGCAUAAGUGGCAUCCAAGAAAAUACUGGGAAAUUUAACGACGAAAACCAAAGAAAAAAAGUGCAUGUGUUUGAAUUUUCUGACUUUCAAGGAGUAGUUCAUAUCUUUGGGUAUUGUCCUUCUUACACGUACACACAUGACCGUACCUUUCUUUUUGGAAGUAUAUGUGUGUCCAUAAGCUUACACUAUUUUGUUAGUUAAAUUUGUUUAAUGGGGGUAUUAGCAAUUCAAAUCCGUUGAAAAUGCAUUUUCCCAUCAAAUUUUGGGGGGAAAUUAACGGGUUCCUUCCCCGAGGUCCCAAUUUAGUGGGAAG
Molecule: long non-coding RNA, 821 nt
Filed under: Medicago truncatula (barrel medic)
Lineage: Eukaryota; Viridiplantae; Streptophyta; Magnoliopsida; Fabales; Fabaceae
Description: lncRNA gene7540
Source: RNAcentral